RNAcentral lists this ribosomal RNA (545 nucleotides) under uncultured bacterium. RNAcentral's name for it is "bacterial SSU rRNA". It matches the Rfam family "Bacterial small subunit ribosomal RNA", at positions 777 to 1335 of the family's 1533-position model. The record is from RNAcentral.
AAUAGAUACCCCGGUAGUCCACGCCGUAAACGAUGGAUGCUAGCUGUUAUGAGUAUCGACCCUUGUAGUAGCGAAGCUAACGCGUUAAGCAUCCCGCCUGUGGAGUACGAGCGCAAGCUUAAAACAUAAAGGAAUUGACGGGGACCCGCACAAGCGGUGGAGCGUGUUGUUUAAUUCGAUGAUAAGCGAAGAACCUUACCAGGGCUUGACAUCCCUGGAAUUUCUCCGAAAGGAGAGAGUGCCUUCGGGAAUCAGGUGACAGGUGAUGCAUGGCCGUCGUCAGCUCGUGUCGUGAGAUGUUUGGUUAAGUCCAUCAACGAGCGCAACCCUUGUAAAUAGUUGAAUUUUUCUAUUUAGACUGCCUCGGUAACGGGGAGGAAGGAGGGGAUGAUGUCAGGUCAGUAUUUCCCUUACGCCUUGGGCUACAAACACGCUACAAUGGCCGGUACAAAGGGCAGCCAACCCGCGAGGGGGAGCAAAUCCCAUCAAAACCGGUCUCAGUUCGGAUAGCAGGCUGAAAUUCGCCUGCUUGAAGCCGGAAUCGC